CUACAGGUUUAUAAAUAAGGCUCCUUAACAAACACUUCAAAAUCAGUAAAAAAAAACCCUCUGAUAAUUUUAGAUCUUGGCUUUUCCUACUCCUUGAAGAGAGCCAAAAGAGAAACACCAAAAACAUUAACCACCUUGACCCUAACUGCAGGAAUAUCACCAACAGCAUGAGCCUUUCACCCAAAUCUUGGGCUCAAAACGUUGCCUAUUUAGUUCAAGGAACCAUCAUUGGCAAAAUGGGAACAAAAGAGACAAUCUUCUUGUUGUUCUUGAUAAGUUGAACU
This 284-nucleotide long non-coding RNA is filed under the name Helianthus annuus (common sunflower). Its description in RNAcentral is "sRNA HanXRQr2_Chr03g0103681". Lineage: Eukaryota; Viridiplantae; Streptophyta; Magnoliopsida; Asterales; Asteraceae. The record is from RNAcentral.